This 19151-nucleotide long non-coding RNA is filed under the name Citrus maxima (pomelo). RNAcentral's name for it is "long non-coding RNA (CMAX_LNC002001)". Lineage: Eukaryota; Viridiplantae; Streptophyta; Magnoliopsida; Sapindales; Rutaceae. The record is from RNAcentral.
GGACAAAAACCUAUCCUUUCAACCGACGCGGAAGAAGAUAAAAGUUUAGCAGGGUAUUUUCUCCGAGCAAUGAAAGAGAACCAUUUGUUUGAUGUGCUUGAUGCUCAAGUUCUUAAGGAAGCCAAGGAAGAAGAGAUUAUUACCGUUGCUAUGCUUGCAAAAAGAUGCUUGAACUUGAAUGGGAGGAAGAGACCUACUAUGAAAGAAGUAACAUUUGAAUUGGGGGGGAUUAGAGCUCAAAAGUGUGAAGACAUUCAUCUUGUGGGUGGCAAUUUUGAAACUGGUUCAUCUUCAACUGGAGCAUUUUAAAUGCUGUUGCUUUUUCUGUAGAUGCUAAUCCUUUGCUUUCAAACAAGUGGUGAUUAAAGGGAAGAAUUUUCCUUUAAAAUCUAAGUAUUUCAUUUCAUAAAUAAAUAAAGCUGUGGAUUUUUGCAUUAUGCUUCUCUUAUGGUUAAAAUUUUUCAUCUCUAGAAUAAAAUAUACAGAGUUUGAUGUCCGGUUUGUAAGAGGAGAAAUAAAUUUAGAAGGUAGAUUCCAACAAAGCAUCUGUGGCAAACAUAUUUAAAUAUCUAAGAAGCAAGCUUCUAAUGCUACCAAUAUUUAGGGGCCCUGUGCUUGAAGAAACAGAACUUUGAAGCUGACAGAGUGAGGCAUCUCAGCAUCUGAAUCUGCAUACAAGUGGAACAGGAGAUGCCGACAUCACAUCCUAGGUGGAACUUAUGUGACACAUACAAUGAAUCCAGUUCGUUCCUAAUUCAUACGCUUACAUUGUAACCCCGUUCUGUGUGUUUCGAGUACCAUUGGUGAACCAUCACUUCGUGCCAUUGUAUUGCUAAUAGCACCUUUGCCUUGAUUGAUUUUGCUGACAAUAUAUAGGUUGUGUUUGGAAGUGAAGUACUAUAACUUUUAUGUUACGUUUGCUUCCCGAAUUAGGGAAUCGGAAUCAUUAACAACGUUUACCUCGCAAAAUAGAUUUAGGAAUCAGAAUCGGAAUCGUGAGACCCACCACAAUUUGGGAAUGAGCAAUGGGACACUCAUUCCUAGGGGAGGUGGGAAUGAGUCUCCCAUUUUUGGGAUUGACUGUUUUACCCUCUCCCAAAAUUAAAAAUGUUCAUAUUGUCCUCAUUUAUAAUUAAUUAAUAUAUUAUUAUAAUUAAUUAAUAAAUUAAUAUAUUGUUAACAAUAAUUAUUAAUAAUUUUAGUAUUUAAUAAAUAAUGACAAUAAUUAAUAUAUUAUUAUUAUAAUUAAUUAAUUAUUAUAAUUGUUACUAUUAUUAAUAUAUUAAUAUAUUAUUAACAACAAUUAUUAAUAAUUUAAUUUUUGAUAAAUAAUCACAAUAAUUAAUAUACUUGUAUUAUAAUUAAUUAAUUAGUAUACUAUUAUAAUAAUUACUAAUAUAAUUAUUUUAAUUAAUUCAUAUAUAUUAUUAAUUAAUUUAUAUAACUAUUACUAUUAAUUAAUAUGUUAGUAUAUUAUUAACAAUGAUAUAUUAAUAAUUAUAGUUUUGAAUAAAUAAUUACAAUAAUUAAUAUAUUUUUAUAAUAAUAGUUAAUAUAAUUAUUAUAAUUAGUUAAAAAAUUUACAAUUAAUUAAUAUAUUAAUAUAUUCUUGACAAUAAUUAAUAAUAAUAAUAAUUUUUGAAUAAAUAAUCACUAUAAUUAAAAUAUAAAAUAAUAAUUAUGACAAUAAUUCAUUAAGUACUUUUUAGUAAUUUGUUACAAUCUAACUCAUUCUGAUUUCAAUUCCAAGAUUAAAUAAACACAUCAGUGGGAUUCUAGCCCAUCCUUAUUCUGAUUUAUGUAGGUCAACUAAACAAUUUAUUCUAAUUUUUAUUCCUCAUUCCGAUUCCAGCCCAUUCCAAUUACUAACAAGUAAAUGCAGCAUUAAGAUACAGAUGCUGUGGAGUAAAAGUCAUAGCUGUGGGAUAAAAGCUGCUAGUGUUUAGCAAAUUUUAAUAGUUGUAGAGUAGAAGCUGAUGGUGUUUGGUAAAUUUUAAUAGUUGUAUAGUGAAAGUUGAUGAAUAUUUGUAAUAAUUAAUUUUAAAUAACAUUAUUUUUAAUUAUUAAUUAGUCAAAUUAUUUUUCAUAUUUUGAAUUAUCAUAUUAAAUUAUGAUUAUGUUUAUUACUUUGACAAAUCAAAUUAAUAUUUAAUUAAUCAAAGUUAUUUUUCUUCACAAGUUGUAAUAAAUAUUUUUUUAAACAAAAUAAUUUAAAAUAUGAAAAUAAAUAAAUUCUAAUUUUACACAUUGAUUGAAGAAAUAAAUUAUACCAAAUAUGUCUAAUAAAGAUCAUACAACAUAACAUUAUCUACACAACUUAAAAGUGAUUUUUAACCUGCACGUAUAAGAGUGUCUUGUUGUAUUAUAGCUCGGUGAGUCCAAGGUCGAUUCACAGAGAAAAGAUUUAAUUUGUUUAUUUUAUUUUAUCUAAAAAUGGAAAUAAAAUUUAAAUAUAAACAACUUAAUUUAAAUCAAAUUAUGAAAUUGAAUUAGUUAGGGUUAUGGAUCCACUCUUAGUAGUAAAUAAAAUUUAAUAAAUUCUUUUUACUAUUUUUUAGAUUUAUUACCCAAAAGAUUAAUUAUACAAAUUAUUAUUAUUUUCCUAUUAAUUUUAUUAUGGAUUAAGUAUUUAUUGUGCCAAAAUUUAAUUUUUCUACAAUAAAUCAAAAUACCAUUUUAUCAUACCUUAUAUUAAGAUAUUAAGAAUUUAUUGUGCCAAACUCCCUUGUUUGUCUACAAUAAAUCAAAAUUUCAAAAUAUAAAAUAUGUAUAAAAUUAAAUAGAAAAUAAUUUAAUUUAUUAAAUUAAAAAUAAAUUUUGAUUAAAUCAUAUUUAUUUCCUAAGAGUUUCACCUUACCCUAACUAUUAUUAUUUAGUUAAGUAUAAUUGAAAUAAAAGUAAUUACUAAAAUUAAAUUAAACAUAAUUAAAAUGAAUAAAAAACUAAAAUUGAAAAUAAAACUAAAUUUAUUUAUAAAAAUAAUUAAGUAAAAUAUUAAAAACACACCUAAAAACAAGAUUACAAGGAGAUUGAGAGAAAUUGAGAAGACGAGAGAUGAUAAAAAACAUAAAAAAUGAGGCUCUAUUUAUAGAAAAAUAAAUUCAUGAUCCAGUGUCUUGCGGUUGCCAUACGCGAAUCCGGUUUUCCAAAUUGAUAAUCCGGUUAUCCGAAUAUUGACCCGAGAGCAACCAAAGAAAAUGCGGCUCACCGAUUUGGACAAUCCGGUUAUCCGGAAUUUGUCCCAAGAGAAAUCAAUAAGAAAAACGGUUUUCCAGAUGAGAAGAAGUGGUAUACCGGUUUAGACUUGGAAAUCUUUUUGUCUCUAAUUGGGCAAGCUCUUAUACUUGUAUUACACACACCAUUUUAUUUUUGGCCUUUUAAAAUUGAUUAAUUUUAAAUCAUUUUGAGAUUUAAAACCUUUCAAUAAGCCAUUUAAUGCAUGAAAUAUAAAAUCAUAAAAUUACAAGCAUAUCAAGCUAUCUAAUUCAUGAAGCAUAAAUUCAUAUAAUAACAAACAUAUCAAGCCAUGUAGUAAAACAUAAAUCAAGAUGCAACAUUCAUCAUUCCAACAAACAUUAAACAACAAACAUGAAACAUCUUACUUAAAAUAUGCAACAACGAACAUAAAAUAUGAGUACCUCGGUAACAGUGAACAUACAACGUCAAACAUGAAAUGUAGAACAGCAAACAUGAAACGUGGAACGUAAACAUGAAACAGGGGCAAAAAAGAAAAAAUUUGGGGUAUUUGAAAAAUUAUUACAUGAAACAUUAAACAACAAACAUGAAACAUCUUACUUAAAAUAUGCAACAGCGAACAUAAAAUAUGAGUACCUCGGUAACAGUGAACACACAACGUCAAACAUGAAAUGUAGAAUAGCAAACAUGAAACGUGGAACGUAAACAUGAAACGGGGGCAAAAAAGAAAAAAUUUGGGGUAUUUGAAAAAUUAUUACAUGAAACAUUAAACAACAAAUAUGAAACAUCUUACUUAAAAUAUGCAACAUCCAACAUAAAAUAUGAGUACCUCGGUAACAGUAAACACACAACGUCAAACAUGAAACGUAGAACAGCAAACAUGAAACGUGGAACGUAAACAUGAAACGGGGGCAAAAAAGAAAAAAUUUGGGGUAUUUGAAAAAUUAUUACAUGAAACAUUAAACAACAAACAUGAAACAUCUUACUUAAAAUAUGCAACAGCGAACAUAAAAUAUGAGUACCUCGGUAACAGUGAACAUACAACAUCAAACAUGAAACGUAGAACAGUAAACAUGAAACAUGGAACGUAAACAUGAAACGGGGGCAAAAAAGAAAAAAUUUGGGGUAUUUGAAAAAUUAUUACAUGAAAUAUUAAACAACAAACAUGAAACAUCUUACUUAAAUUUUGCAACCGCGAACAUAAAAUAUGACUACGUCUGUAACAGUAAACUUACAACAUCAAACAUGAAACGUAAAACAACAAACAUGAAACGUAGAACGUAAACAUGAAACAGGGGCAAGAAAGAAAAAUUUUGGGGUAUUUGAAAAAUUAUUACAUGAAACAUUGAACAACAAACAUGAAACAUCUUACUUAAAUUUUGCAACCGCGAACAUAAAAUAUGACUAUGUCUGUAAUAGUAAACUUACAACAUCAAACAUGAAACGUUGAACAACAAACAUGAAAUGUUGAACGUAAACAUGAAACGGGGGCAAGAAAGAAAAAUUUUGGAGUAUUUGAAAAAUUAUUACAUGAAACAUAAAACAUAAAAUAUGCAACUUGAAACGUUAAAUAUGAGACAUAUUUCAUAGAAAAUAAAUUAAACGUUUGUCCUUAUGUUAACACACAUUUUACUUUAUUUUUUAAAUUAUUUUUAAUAAAAAAUAUUUUUUUUCUAUUUUUACUUUACUUAUCCUUUUUUAUUUAUUAUUAUUAUUAUUUUUUAAAUUUAUUUAUUAUUUAUAUUUUAUAUUUUAAUUUAUUUAAAAAAAAUACAUAUUAAUGGCAGCAACCGGCUGGAAAACCGGUCGCUGCCAGUCAUAAAAGUUGUUUGGCUGCCAGAUGGCAGCCAAACAACUAGGGGGUCAACAAAUUGACCCUUUCUAUGAUACAGGGACUUUGAGUCCCUGUAUCAUAGCCGUGUCCCUACUUAAGACCCUCCUAGCAGUUUUAAAAAAAAUUUCCCAGCGAAGAAUAGAAGUGAUGGCAGCUGCUCUGUCUUGCGACCCAUCGCAAUGGGAAUUUAGCUGGUUUUAAUUCUCUCUCUUAGCUGUUUCUGUUUCUUUAAUUUAACAUUGUGAUAUAUAUUUAUUAUGCUAGAGGUUCAACUAAGUCUCCAUUUACUGGGACUUUUCUCAUCUUGGGAAAUGUUAAUUUUGCCUUAUUUAUUCAAUAUUGUUAUCUUCCUCUGUCAAUAAAUUUUAUGCUUCGGUUGGUUAUUCAAUGUGGGUUUGUUCCAUUUUGUUCUUACGCUGUUUGUAUAAAUAUUAAAGGUUUGUUUUUUAAAAUGGCUUUCAGUCAAUUGCCUUCAAAGCUUUAUUUCCUAAAAGAGGAAAGAAAAAUAUACCAAAAUGUUUAAUUUCUACUGCUAUAUGUUUGCGUUUUUAGCUUCUGCUAUGCUUUGUAUUGUGUUGUUUGUGUUGGUAUUAAUGCUAGAAAGAUGUUUUCUUCUCAAAUCUGAUUGCUUAGAAUGAAUAUGAGGUGGUUAUUGAGUUGCAAUAUAUCGAAUAAAUUGAAGACGUCUGCUUCAUAGGUUUUGAUUCUAUUAAUUGUUUUCAUUUCAAGCAUGACACAAUUGCAUGGGUGUUCGAGGAGGCUAACGGUGAUUUCUUAGGGUUGAAGCUAUAACUUUCUUUUAUUAUUGUCUAGUAUCAAAACUUGAAAACAAAGUUUAAAGAUAAUGCUUAUGAUACAAACACAAAUGAUUGGAAAGGUAACUUGAACAAAAUAUAAGGAAAUCAAUAAGAAUAGGUUAAUUCGAGGAACUCUAAACCUUCAAAAUAAUAUUGGUUAUUUGAGAAACCAAUAAACUCGCAAAAUUUAAUUUACAAGUUGCGAAAAUAAUAGUACUCAAGACACUCUUUUAUUGAAUAACAUCAAGCUUUAAAUAGAGCUUUACUUCAAAGUUACAAGAAUAAAAAUAAGCAAGCAUUAAGCAUGUUCUCCAUCAUUCUCCAUGAAUCCACAAAAUAAGGAACCAACUAACAACUUGAUUUUGACUUAUUAAAAACCAGCUACACUUAAAAUAUAAAGUAAAUAAUUAAAACCAAUAUUAAAAUAGAAAGAUUGUAACAGCUUUUCUAAUUUUCUGUUAUUGUGUUUACUUUAAUCAAUGGGCCGUGGCACAUAUUGUUAAAUUGUGGAUCGGAUAGUUUACUGGACACGUGAACUAAUUUGUAAUUUAGUUAUAAGUUGUGUGAACCAUAAAAAAAUAAAGUCAGUGGUACUAUUAUCAGAAUGUUGGAUAGUUCUGAAAGAUUUUUGAAUAAGCUGGCAUUGAGGAUAAUAUACUAUUGGAAGUUGAGGAACAGGACAGAGCAUCUGUAAUUCCUCUGUUGUUUACGAGUUAUCUAUUUUUAUCCCAUGACAGUGUAGUGCUCUUUGUCCACCUUUCAGAAAGUUUUUAGAGGAACUGUACCUGAAAUGUUUUGUUGUUUCUUAGAAAAUGGUUUUUCCCAUGCAGUGACUUUGAAGUGGAUUACGAGUCCAAUGAGAAUGCAUCAAUUGUGUAUGCAGCAUUAGCUAUUGAUAAGGAGGUGAUCCACCACGAUCCUAUUCCCAAGAUCAUACUUUGCUCCUUUAACUUUAUUGCUUGUUCAAUAAAUUCUUACUUGAAUUCAAUUUCCAAGUGCAGUUGCAACCAGACAAAUUGAAAAGGCAGAUAUCUGUGAUUAAUGGGAAACUUUUAGUGUAAGUUUCUAUUCUUUGGUCAUUCUUAUAACUGAUUUUUCAUUCUUGUCCAAUAUUUAUUCAAUUUGCAUCUAUCAGUUUAUCCUAUGAGACAAUAUUCAUUUGGAACUUUUGUGUGGCCCGUUCAAUAAUCAUUUUUCCCCUUUUCCUGAAAAAUUUUCAAAUAUGUUACUUCAGAAGAGUUCUUCCUCUAAGAUUCCAUUGUUCUUUAGUAUAUCAACUUUGCUUGGACUUUGCAGUUUACAAGUUUCUACAUUUUGUUUAUUUUCUCAUCUGAUUCAGGCACUUUGAGGCAGUUGAGGCCAGGUUUCUUCGUGCAUCAUUUUCUGCUUUUGUAGAUGUGCUUACACUUGCGACAAAAACAAUCGAACAGUUUGGUCAUGGAACGGAAUUGUAACAUCAUACUAUCUUUGGCAGUUGGAGAAUCAUUCUUAGUAGGAACUGUAUUACUUUAAUUCGCCAUCUUGUUUCGGAUUAGUUGACGUGUUUGUAACAAGAGAAUCUAUAGUGUUCGUUUUAUAAUGUAAACCUUCAAAUUAUCGGAAAGCUGAAAUCUUCAAAGCUGUGAAUUAUAAUUUUUUUUUUUCAAUCAUUGGGUUUUAGCAAGAGGUUGCAGCUGUAAAUGUUAUAAUCCUCCCUUUGACCUUUUCAAUAAAGUUAUUGGCAAGCUAUCUCCAACUCUUUCAGUUUGGGCCUAACUAGAUUGCCAGACCUCACUUCUAGGGCUUUUCUGUUUACCCUCAAAACAGUUCAAUCUGAUGUUGAUUUCGUAAAGUGAGUAGAAUGAAGAAUUCAUUAGUGCUAAUAUUCUUCCAGCCAUUGAUGCAAUUCUUUACCAUUGUGUGACGCAGGAGGUACCUACUUGGCUACCAAGUGGCCCUCAGCUUAACGUGCCUCGAUAGCCUUCAAGCUUUUAGAAUUCAUCUAGCUGGUGGAAUCCUAUCUGGCGUCUCUCUAUAAGUUCGAAAAUCAAGAUUUUUCUAUAGCAAGCGUCAAGGGGUUUCUUGUCACCCAAAAGGAACCCAGAAAAGAUAAAAUCGUAGACAGCACUGUUUCACAUGCUGGAAUUCUCGGGAGGGUGCUUAUCAUGUGCUUGUGGCUAUAAAUAUGCUCGAAAAAAAUUGGAAAUUGAUGCUGCAAUCCCUCUGCCUGAAUCCUCAAAGAAAAAAAAAAUGCCCUUUUAUAGCAUUGCUAAGAUGAAAGAUUACAGACUUAGCAACGCUGACAUUGAGCAACAAUUUUCUGCAUACACUUUAUCUUGGGCAGAAUCACCAAAAGUCGAUGCAUCUUUAAAUUUAGAAUAAAAGCAGAUUCGACUUGUAUUAUAAGAAAUUCAAAUGGGGUGUCACGGCUGCUUCCAUCUCUAGGAAAACUUGCUUAGAAAAAAUGCUGAAUGCUUUGGCAAUUCUUGAUGGCAUCAAAAUGGCAGUUGACUCUGGACUGCACCCACCACUAACUUGAAUCUGACUAUUUUAAUGCAGUGAAAUCAAUCUUAAAGAAGAGACUUCGGAUGGAUGAUCAAAGGAAUGCUCGGUUAUGUAAGAAAAGGAAAACAAUUUAUAGUUGCAAUACACUCAUCAAUAAUCUCAGGAACCUCUGAUGAUUGAAUUACAAGCAUACCUGUUCAUGCAAGAUAUUCGAUGCUCUGCAUCCGAAACUUCGUCGACCUUUGCAUCUAAGAGAUCAUUAACCUUACAAGUCACAGAACCCAAAUGGUCCACAGUAUUCACAACAGCUUUGCUGGCAUGAUCUUUCAAUGUUUCCACCACUCUGCGUAAAUGUGAAGAUGGUUUGUUUUCUCAAUAGAAAAUUGAAAUUAUCAGCAGUAAUUAGAGCAACUUACAUUUGUUUUUGGUCAUCACUGGUGUACCUUAGUUCAAGAUAUUCGGCCGCCGAGUAUAACUGUGUUCUCAGGUUUUUCAAAUCCUGAAGGUAAAGUCGCUUGAGUUAAAAAAAAGACCAAAGUAAAUAUUUCCAUAAGAACUUAAAUCUAUUACAAAUUGGUGCUUUUGUAUUUCCAUAAGCGGCUAUCUACUCCAAGGCUAGUUGAAAACUGAGUAAAAUUUGGAAAUUGACACACGAUCCACCGUUUAAAUCAUAUAAACAAGUAUCGCACGAUUAAACAAGAAUUGGCCUUGAAGACGUAUGCCUCUAUUUGCCACAAUCAUUUUUUUUUUCUUUUUCUUUUUCUUAAAAGUGAAUGCUGAGGUGGGUGCAACUUUUAGUAAUAGCUAUUAGUAGCAUAAAACAAAGAUUGCACGCUCUAAAACAAUUGUAAUAGGGAAACUGGUACAGGCAUAUAGUCCAACAGAUUAAAACAAAAUAUAGAAAUAGUAUUACCUUGAGACAAUCAGAGAACAGCAAGCUCUGCUGCCCUUUUCUUAAAAGUGAUUGAUUAUGAUGAAACAUUCAGCCUUGUAAUUAAGCCUGCUCCGGUUUGUUUUGUGUUUGGCAUUAUUACAAGAUGGUAGUUGCGACAACUUGAUGUGAGCAAUGCCUUUUUACAUGGGCACCUAUCAAAGGAGGUAUUUAUGUCUCAGCUACCUGGUUUUAUUGAUCCCACAUAUCCCUACUCAUGUUUGCAAACUUGAAAAGGCACUCUCUGGCCUUAAGCAAGCCCCACGUUCUUGGAACAACACCGAGCUUCGAAACUUUCUUCUAUUGACGGGGAUUUUUCACUUCACUAUCAGAUUCUUCUUUAUGUUUCUAAUCUCAUGCUGGCGUGCAUGGGAUUAUCCUUGUGGGUAAAUAAACUUUCAUCUAUUGCCACAAUGUAGCUAGGCACUAAUUAUCUUCGUGCCAAUCCUGUAUAUCACUCUCGCAUGAAACACAUGGCCAUUUGUCUUUCACCUUGUUCAUCUCAAGACCAAUUCAGUCACCAAACCUCUCUCUCAUCAUCACGAAUAAGUUUUCUUCGUUCCAACAUCGGUGUCGCCAAUGGUAGUACCAUCUUACAGGGACAUAUUAGAGAUACUCUUAAAGUCACGGUGUAGUUGUACAAUCCUUUUAUUAUUUGUAUAUUUGACUUUCAUAACUUUAGACUACAAUUGUGCACUUACUAUAUUAACUAGCUUUAGUUGUGUAUAUAUUGAAAUCAUAUCAAUAAAAACAGCAAGCUGCGUUGUUAUUUCCUUUCUCUAUAUUAUUUAUUGUAUAAACCUAACAUCUUUCAGCCCUUCGGGCGCACCCCCCCAAAAUCUCACGGUUACUCUUUUUUUUUUCUUAUAAAUUUAUUUACCCACACCUGUCCCGUUUGUCUCACCUAUUUUUUUUUUUAAUUUUCAAUUAUUUCGUUAGCCAGGCCACACUUUUAUAAACUUUGUCCUGGGCCCGCACUCUACUUUUGUGUUUUUUGCCCAAAUAAGCCGGACUAGCAUCACCCAUGUAAUUAUCUUUUCAGACCCCUUUCUGGUAUAUCACAGAAGCCCAAUAACAAAUACAUCCGCAAAAUAUCUAACAAAGAUAUUUCAACAAGCUGGUCGCGCACUGGGACGGGGAAUGGCUCUGUUCCUAAGAAUGAAUUGACGUCCUGUCCAGUGUCCCCCCUUGGCCCUUGCCUCCUCAUCACAGAGAUGAAAAUUGAAAUUAGGCCAAUUAGAUUAAAGGCGAGACGGAAUGGAAAUAUGGAACCGUUAGUUAUUAUACACAUGACCCCUCUAAUUAAUGGCCCUUUGCCUUUCAAUAUUAUUGUAGGUAUUUGCAAGGAAACCUCCUCUUAUAUUUCUUCCAAUUAAGACUUCUUGUGUCCAAUUACUGUCGAUUCUUUUUGAACGUGUAAAGGACAGCAACUUGAAGACUUGAGAGGGCCAGCAUUUAUUCAAAGUCAAGUACCGGGACUGGGAAUGGCCCUGUUCCCGAAGUAUGAACUGACGUCCCGUCCAGUGUCCCCUUGCCUACUCAUCAUACAAACAAAAAUUGAAAUUAGGCCAUUUAGAUUAAAGAUAAGACGAAAUGGAAAUAUGGGAUCGUUAAUUAUUAUAGCUAUGACCCAUCUAAUUUGUAAAUGGUUCUUUCCCUUUCAAUUUUUAUUGUACGGAUUUGCAAGGAAACCUCCUCUAUCUUUCUUGCAAUCAAGACUUUUGCGUAUCCAAUUACUGUCAACUGUUUUUGAACGUGUAGAAGAAAACAACUAGAAGACUUGAGAGAGGGCCGCGUUAAUUCAAAGUCAAGACUAGCUUAUUAGCUUGCAGGAUUCUUGAUGAUGAGGGGAAAAAAGGGUUGACAGAUGCUGGUAUAAUGUUUAUAAAACUUUAAUUAUUUCAUAAAAUUAUUUUAUUUUUUAUUCGCCAUCACGUUUGAGAUUCCCCCCCCCCCCCCCCCAUGGCCCAUUUUAUUUUCAUUUUUAUUUUUAUGUAGGUCGGUAGUGUUACUGGAAAUCAACUACUGCCUCUUUUUUCAUAUGGAGAAUUAAACAAAACUCACCAAUGACCUAAAAUAGGACAUGGCUACGGUACAGAGGCUGCAAGUAACAGCUUCGAACUUUCCCAUUUCCAUCACCUUGCAUUGGGACCUCUUUCUCUCUUCUCUAGCACCCGUGGAAGUUCUCCAUUGGCUGCUGUUACUUACAGAAGCCGUAACUUAGAUUUGUCCCCUAAAAUAAAUAUAUAAUGAAUAUUUAUUAACAAAUUCUAGACAAAAUUAAUUUUUCAACCGAUUGAAACUUCCAAAAACUCAAAUUUCGAAUUUUAUAUAAGUAUAAUCUAUUUUAAGUAUCAUUAUUAAAUCCUCCUCUAUAGCACAUUAGCAAAUAUGCAACUUUUCUAGCUUAAAAUCUAGGUUCAAAUCUUGCCAGCAGAGUUAAUUUUCGUUAUUUUUUAAGUCAUAGUUAAUUUUGUUAUAUAAUUUCGAUCACAGAUAAUUUUGAAAAUAUUACGAGUAAUUGUGUUAUUCACUCAAACCUUAGAGACUAAAGGAACAUUUACCAAAGAUUAAAAAAAAUUAUUUUAAAGCUACAUUUUGUUUCAUCCAAAUGAAGCUAUUCAAUCUAUAUUUUAUUCCAAUAAAACUAUGGCUUCGUUUCAUAUCUUAAUUAAAUUAUAUAAUGAUGAAACAUUAUAUUCUGAACUUAACUGAAUCCAAUAUCGUUUCACCAAUCGGUCAUAUGAGAUGAAGAAAAAAUCUUUUGAAAUUAAUUUUAAAUUAAAGUUGAAGAAUGGCGAUAUGAUACAUACACAUAUAUGACUCUAAAUUUAUUAAAUUGAAGACGUACUCAUCGUCUUGACGAUGUGACCAAAUACUGGAACGUGAGAAGGGUCUUUGGCCCUUGGAGAAGACUUGAGAGGGCCCGGAGUAAUUAAAAGUCAAGAUUGGCAUGCUGAAAUUAAUCUCUGGCUUUAACUUGCAGCACUUUCGUGUCGGUGAGAGUUUUAUGAGGAGCUAAUACAUGCACUUUCUGAACUAAAGAAAACUGAGUUUAAGCGGCGAAUGGCUGUGCAUCUUUGUCUGGUGUUGUUGCAGAUUAUUGUUUUGCACCUCAGGCCGAUCAAAGCAUCAGAAAGAUUUCCCUGUCCAACUGAAUGUGGAAAUGUCAGCUUCAUCAGCUACCCCUUCGGAAUCGGAAAAGGGUGCUACUUUGACAAGGGUUACGAAGUUAUCUGCGAUCACUCUUCUGGCUCUCACAAAGCUUUUCUUCCUGGCGUCAACAGGCUAGAAUUAUUGGAUAUUUUCUCUUAUUCAAAGUUCGCGGUUAGAGUCAACGUUCCUACAAUUUCUUUAAACAGCAGUAGUAAGCGAACAACCAAUAUUGCUAAAGGCGUCAACUUAUCAGGUACCCCUUUCGCCUUUUCGACUGACAAUAAAUUCGCUGCCAUAGGCUGCAACAUGAGAUAUCACCAAGGGAACGGUUCAUCUGUGUUUGAUGCGUGUCUGUCGAUUUGUACUUGUGAUCCUACUCUCUACCCUGCUUGCUAUGAUUUCCUAUGCCCCCUUCGUCCAAAUAUUACUCAUCUGUUCAAUCUAAAUAUAUCAUACUUGUUUUCUCCAAGUAUUCCUCAGAAUUGUCAGUCUGUUUUCAUGGUUGAAGAACAUCGGGUCAACGGCAAGUACCUUGGAGAUCUUCAUGAUUUGAAAGAUCAACAAGAAGUUCCUGCAGUGUUGAAGUGGGGAGAAAAGAUAGGCAGGUGUUUUGAAGAAUAUAACUCAUAUUCUACCUUUUGUAAUUUGAAUAAAACAGGUUGUUUAAAACAAUUAAGCUCAGGCCAUUUAUUGGAUGGUAAGAUGAUCAGAAAAGAGUUGUAAAAUUUAUCAUCCAAUAGAUGAUUGAAAUUAUUGAGUUUUAAAAUAUCCACCGGAUUACUUGUAAAUGAGUAAAGUUUUCCAAUUACUGUAACUAUCUAUGUAAACAGAGAAUCAGAGACUAAAAAUGGUGGAGUUUUAUUUAGUUGUAGCCAUGAUUUAGUUUGAUCUUCUCUUUGAUUUAUUUUUUUAUUUAUUAUUUCCUGGGCAGGCGACUUGAUCUGUAAUAUCUCAAGCGGCUACAAUUGCUCCAAUUGUCCUGACGGUUAUAAUCGUCUCUCAGAUGGUUGCAUUCAAGUUUUCAACAAAUCUCGGGUUAAAUUCAUUAUUAUAGGUAUGCAUAUCGAUCCUUUAUUUUACAUCAUAACAAAUUAAUAAUGUUUUUUAACAUAUAUUUCAAAUGAAAAUACUAAGUGUUCAUACGUUCAUUUGAUGAUAUCUUUCAUUAUUGUCCUCGAGAGCCGCAGGCUGCGGUGGUGGGCUUGCAUUAUUCUUUCUGCUCAUUGGAAUAUGGUGGUUGUACAAGUUUGUAAAAAGAAGAAGGGAAAUCAAGCUCAAGCAUAAGUUCUUUAAAAAAAAUGGUGGUUUAUUAUUGCAACAAGAAUUGUCUUCCAAUGAAGGUAAUAUUGAGAAAAUGAAGUUAUUUACUUCAAAAGAUUUGGAGACGGCCACCGACAACUACAAUGCCAAUCGGAUCCUUGGUCAAGGAGGCCAAGGUAUUGUAUACAAAGGAAUGUUAGCAGAUGGAGGAAUUGUGGCUAUUAAAAAAUCCAAAAUAUUGGAUGAGAAUAAUCUCGAGCAAUUCAUCAAUGAGGUAGUAAUUUUGUCUCAAAUAAACCACAGAAAUGUUGUUAAGUUGUUGGGAUGUUGCUUGGAGACAGAAGUUCCUCUUUCGGUGUAUGAAUUUAUUCCAAAUGGAAGCCUCGAUCAAUGCAUACACUACCAAUCUGAAGAGUUUCCAAUCACAUGGGAAAUGCGUUUACGCAUUGCUGUUGAAGUUUCAGGUGCUCUAUCUUAUUUGCAUUCAGCUGCAUCUAUUCCUAUUUAUCAUCGAGACAUCAAGUCUGCAAACAUACUUUUGGACAAUAAACAUCGGGCUAAAGUUUCAGAUUUUGGGGCUUCUAGAUCUAUCACAGUUGAUCAAACUCACUUGACCACUCAAGUACAAGGAAGUUUUGGAUAUCUAGAUCCAGAAUACUUUCGAUCAAGUCAUUUUACUGAGAAAAGUGAUGUUUACAGUUUUGGAGUAGUUCUUGUUGAGCUUUUAACUGGACAAAAACCUAUCCGUUCAACUGAAGCUGAAGAAGAUAAAAGUUUAGCAAGAUAUUUUAUCCAAGCAAUGAAAGAGAACCGUCUGUUUGAAGUCCUUGAUGAUCGAGUUCUUAAGGAAGCUGAGAAAGAAGAAAUUAUUACUGUUGCUACACUCGCAAGAAGAUGCUUGAACUUGAAUGGGAAGAAAAGACCUACGAUGAAAGAAGUGGCAUUUGAAUUACGGGGUAUAAGAGAAUCAAUUGGAGCUUCCAUUUUGCAGCAAAAUUGUGAAGAGACUGAUUUUGUGGAUGGUGACAUUACGGGACAUGAUUUCGAAAGGGAUUCAUCUUCUAGUGGGUCAACUUUAAAUAGUGUCUCAGUUUCUGUGGAUGCCGACCCUUUAAUUUCAAACAAAUGGUGACAAAGAGAAGAAUGGCCUUGAAACUGUUUGUAUUUCAUAAAUAAGAUUGUUAGACUUUUCCGAUAUUUUCAUUCUCUUGCAUCGUUACAGUUUCUUUGGGCACCAUCAUUUGUAAUUAAACACUUCCAAGUCAUUUCAAACAAAUUUUCCACUAUUUAAUUGCAUGCGCUGCAUUUUCCUCUUUUUUUUUUUUGGUGGGGGGGGGGGGGGGGGGGGGGGGAAUGGAGGAGAUGAAGGAAAAAUCUGCCUGAAAUUAAUUUCGUAGUUGAAGUUUAUAAAUGCAAGAUGAUAUGAUCUCAGAGUCUAAUAAAUACUGAUGUGUAAGAACUUUAGCACUAUGUGACCUAAUAUCUCUAGUAAAUAGGAGAGAACAACUUGAGCACUUAAAAGAGGGCCAACGAUAAAUAAACUCCAGAGUGGCAUGUCGGAAUAGUUGGCUUAUUGUUAUGCAGGACUUUCCCGGUAGUGAAAUAAAGUCGAAAGGAAGAUGGGAGGAAAUAAAGUUGUUCAAUGCGCUUUCUUGUAUUUCAUGGGUUAAAUAUCUUUUUAUCUGAUUACAAACUGAUAGAUAAAAUACCCUUGUAUCAUUUGUGAGUGAAUCUCUUAGGUCAAAAAUAUAAAGUUAGAACAAUCCUCAACUCUUUAGUUAGAUUUUGAGUAUGGCUUAAACCCAUGAACUUUUAUAUUUUAUUAGAGGUAAACUCACCCACGAUUAUGCCCGCACUACCUCUCACAGUACCUUACCACUAGACGCCCUUCACAUGGAAGCUUGGGUACCACUCGAAAAGUCAUUUGAAAGAAAAGUCUGUUUAAAAUUACGUUCCAAUUCUGUACUCUCAGCUCUCCAAGUUAUAAAUUGAUAUUCAACUAAUGUUAUAAAAGAGUAAUGCUAGAGGAUCUCAAUUUAACUCAUGUUAUAAAAGAGUAAUGCUAGAGGAUCCCAUCUUGGGUACCAAUGGAUGUGGCAUUUAUUCAGUGGAUAGUAGAAUAACACUACAGCCUCGAACUAACAGGACCUCCCCGCUGCUAGCUCUAGCUACCACGUCCCCAAUUUCCCAUCACCACAGCCAAAAAUUAUACUAAAGGAGUUUCAGUUGGGGAGGGAACCAGUAGGUCUAUUCUUUUUUCUUAUUUUCUAUUUUUCUUCUAUAUUUCUUUUGUUUUUAUUUUCGUCUCUGCUUCUGUUAUUGUGCUUGUUUUUAUGUUUUGUUGUUUUCUAAGAUUUUAUACUGCUCCUGCGGUGGUUCUGGUGCUCUCUAAAUAGAUGGUGUUGUUUCAAUGUCCAAAUCGAGAUUGUAUCAGUGUUCGGAUUGGAACGGUAUGCCUAUAUUGAAGCUGUUGAGGGCUUUAAUAGUGGUACAUCAAGGUUCUAAUAACCUAAGGCGAGGUUCUGAUGGCCUAGGUCAAGGGCUCAUUGAGAGGCUUUCUAGUGAAUCGUAAGGUUGGCUUUUUUGUUGCAUUUUGUGGUUUUUUUAUUGUUGUUUGUUUGCAUUCUGUUGUUAGAAUUGUAUUUUCUUGUGUUCUGUUGUAUUAUCAAACACGAGGGGCAUUUCAGCUGUAAUAGCUAAGAUUGGUUCCUCUAGUUUUUCUUUAGAUUUUAGUUUGCGAAACAAUUUAGUCUCCUUUGAUUUUAAAAUUUAUCUUAUGUAUUGUAUUUGAGUCUGAUAUAACUUUUUUUUUUCUUUUAAUCAUUAUUGGCCCUUAAUGAAAGUCAUACUUUCUUUAAAAUAUAUAUAUAUAUAUAUACACGGAGGAGAACAACUUGUAGACUUGAGAGGGCCAGGGUUAAUUAAAAGUCAAGUUGACUUGCAGGACUGUCAUGGUAUUGGGAUAAAAGCUAAAAGGAAGCUAGAAGGGAUUUAAUUAACGAUAAAUGCAUGCAAUUGCUCUGUUAAAUCUUCAUUCUUCCGAGUAAAAAUAUUGAGAAUGGUUGUUCAUCAUUAUCUGGUGUUGUUGCAAUUGAUGAUUUUGCUAUUAUGGCCAAUCAAAGCAUCAAAAGAUUCAUGCCAAUAUGAUUGUGGGAAUGUCACUAUCAGGUACCCCUUCGGAAUCGGAGACGGUUGCUACUUUGAUAAGAGUUUUGAAGUAAUCUGCGAUUACUCUUCUGGCUCCCCAAAAGCUUUUCUUGCGAGCAUCAACAAACUGCAAGUAUUGAGCAAUCAUCCUUACGGUGUUGAUGAUGAUGGUUCUUAUGUUGAAUCCAUCAUCAGGGUAAACAUUCCUGUAAUUUCUUUGAAGAGCAGUAACCUGACAAGCAAUGCUAAAGGGGCCAGUCUAUCAGGUAGGCCUUUUACAUUUUCCCGGUGGGGCAAUAGAUUCACUGCCAUAGGUUGCAAAAACUAUUCUACGAUUAUUAAGCGACAGAAUGAUUCAUCCGUUUUUGGUGGGUGCCUUUCGAUUAGCACUUGUGAUCCUGCUCUUAACCCUGGUUGCUACGAUUUCCUAUGCGCUCUUCCUCAAAAUAUUACUCCGGUUUUCAAUGCAGAUAUAUCUAAUUUUUAUUCUAAAAGUAUUCUUCAGGAAUGUCACUCUGUUUCCAUUGUUGAAGAAGAUUGGAUCAACUCAAAGUACCUGAAGAAUCCUUACGUUUUGAAAGAUCACGGACAAGUUCCUGCACUGCUGGAGUGGGCGGACCUUAGAGGAUAUUGUAAUGAAGAAUAUAAUUCGAAAACUACUUGUAACAAGGACAAUAGAUGCUUAAUACAAUUAAGCUCAGGCUACCUUUGCCUUUGCUAUAGCUUUUGGGAAACAAGCUUUGACCGACACCACCAUGGAUAUUGCUCAGGUACAAUUUCGAAUACUAAUUAAAUUAAUUUCAUAUAUGAAGUGUAAUUACUGUAUUUCCUCGAACCAACUACGGAUCUAACACAAAAUUAUAGACGGUAAUUGCAGAAUUUGCAUUUGUAAAGAAGGCAAGAUUUAUGUAUAGCCGUGAUUUAAUUUGAUAUUCUAUAUCAUUUUUUGGGUUCGUUUAGGUUACUUGCUCUGUAAUACCACAAGCCACUACAAUUGCUCAUCGGGAUGUCCCAAAGGUUACUCUUCAACUUCGGGAAGUGGAGUCUGCGAUAAUGAUGGCCAACGGGCCCAAGACCUUAGUAUGCACAAAAAUUCUCAUGUCAAAUUCAUUAUUAUAGGUAUGUAUUGGAAUUUGCAGAUUUUAUCGACAAAAUAACUUACGGCAUAUAUAUAUAUAUAGGCUCACAAACGUAACAGAUUAAACAGUUCCUUGCCAUAAAUCACCUCGAACGUGCAUUAAAUAUUCUUGGCCUGGAGUGUUGCAGGUUGCAAUAGUGGGCUUGGAAUGUUGCUCCUACUAAUCGGAACAUGGUGGUUAUACAAGUUCGUUAAAAGAAGAAGAGAAAUCAAGCUCAAGCAGAAGUUCUUUGAAAGAAAUGGUGGUUUAUUAUUACAACAACAGUCCUCAUCAAAUGAAGGUAAUACUGAGAAAACAAAAUUGUUUACUUCAAUGGAAUUAGAAAUGGCUACGGACAACUUCAAUACCAAUCGAAUCCUUGGUCAAGGAGGCCAGGGCACAGUUUACAAAGGAAUGUUGACAGAUGGAAGAAUUGCGGCUGUGAAAAAGUCGAAAUUAGUGGAUGAGAGUAAUAUUGAGCAAUUCAUCAAUGAGGUGGUAAUUUUAACUCAAAUUAAUCACAGAAAUGUUGUUAAAUUGUUCGGAUGCUGCUUGGAGACAGAGGUUCCUCUUUUGGUGUAUGAAUUUAUUCCAAAUGGAACUCUCUAUCAAUAUAUACAUGAAACUGAGGAGUUCUCAAUCACAUGGGAAAUGCGUUUACGCAUUGCUGUAGAAGUUUCAAGUGCUCUAUCCUAUUUGCAUUCAACUACUUCUAUUCCAAUUUAUCAUCGAGACAUCAAGUCUGCAAAUAUACUAUUGGAUGAUAAAUUUCGAGCAAAAGUUUCAGAUUUUGGGGCUUCUAGAUCUGUCACGAUUGAUCAAACUCAUUUGACCACACGAGUACUAGGAACUUUUGGAUAUCUAGAUCCAGAGUACUUUCGGUCAAGUCAAUUUACAGAGAAAAGUGAUGUUUACAGUUUUGGAGUUGUCCUUGUUGAGCUUUUAAGUGGACAAAAACCUAUUCGUUCAACCGAAGCUGAAGAAGAUAAAAGUUUAGCAGGGUAUUUUCUCCUAGCAAUGAAAGAGAACCGUUUGUUUGAUGUGCUUGAUACUCAAGUUCUUAGGGAAGCCAAGGAAGAAGAGAUUAUUACCGUUGGCAUGCUUGCAAAAAGAUGCUUGAAUUUGAAUGGGACGAAGAGACCUACUAUGAAAGAAGUCGCAUUUGAAUUAGGGGGGAUUAGAGCUCAAAAGUGUGAAGACAUUGAUCUUGUGGGUGGCAAUUUUGAAAC